CCUACCAUGGUGGUAACGGGUAACGGGGUGUUAGGGCACGACACCGGAGAGGGAGCCUGAGAAACGGCUACCACAUCCAAGGAUGGCAGCAGGCGCGCAAAUUACCCAAUCCCGACACGGGGAGGUAGUGACAAUAAAUAACAAUACGGGGUUCUUUCGGAUCUCGUAAUUGGAAUGAGUACAAUUUAAAUCUCUUAACGAGGAACAAUUGGAGGGCAAGUCUGGUGCCAGCAGCCGCGGUAAUUCCAGCUCCAAUAGCGUAUAUUAAAGUUGUUGCAGUUAAAAAGCUCGUAGUUGAAUUUCGGGAUCAAAUUGUCGGUCGUGCCUCGGUACGAACUGGUAUUAUUGGUUCCUACCUUCUGAAGAACCGCGAUGUCAUUAAUUUGGUGUCGUGGGGAAUCAGGACUGUUACUUUGAAAAAAUUAGAGUGUUUAAAGCAGGCUUACGCUUGAAUACAUUAGCAUGGAAUAAUGAAAUAGGACGUUUGAUUCUAUUUUGUUGGUUUCUAGGAUUGACGUAAUGAUUAAUAGGGAUAGUUGGGGGCAUUAGUAUUCAAUUGUCAGAGGUGAAAUUCUUGGAUUUAUUGAAGACUAACUACUGCGAAAGCAUUUGCCAAGGAUGUUUUCAUUAAUCAAGAACGAAAGUUAGGGGAUCGAAGACGAUCAGAUACCGUCGUAGUCUUAACCAUAAACUAUGCCGACUAGGGAUCGGAUGGUGUUAAUUUUUUAAUGACUCAUUCGGCGCCUUACGGGAAACCAAAG
This 761-nucleotide ribosomal RNA is filed under the name uncultured Glomeromycotina. Its description in RNAcentral is "SSU rRNA". It matches the Rfam family "Eukaryotic small subunit ribosomal RNA", at positions 340 to 1103 of the family's 1831-position model. Lineage: Eukaryota; Fungi; Glomeromycota. The record is from RNAcentral.